UUAUUGUAUGAAACAUGAGAAGGUGAGUGUUCCCCUUGAUAAGGAUGGAACAGGCCCUAGCCUGGACCGUACAAUAUGCAUGUGGUGAAGGCACUGCCAACUACGUCAUGGCAUCUAACCAUGUUUUUGG
Small nuclear RNA from Gallus gallus (chicken), 130 nucleotides. NCBI's taxonomy places the organism in Eukaryota, Metazoa, Chordata, Aves, Galliformes, Phasianidae. The record is from Ensembl.